RNAcentral lists this ribosomal RNA (181 nucleotides) under Sladenia zhui. RNAcentral's name for it is "partial 12S ribosomal RNA". The record is from RNAcentral. Lineage: Eukaryota; Metazoa; Chordata; Actinopteri; Lophiiformes; Lophiidae.
CGAGAGGCCCAAGUUGAUAUUUUUCGGCGUAAAGCGUGGUUAGGCCCGACAUUAAUACUAAAGCCGAAUGCCCUCAAGGCUGUUAUACGCAUUCGAAGGUAAGAAGCUCAAAUACGAAAGUAGCUUUAUACACCUGAACCCACGAAAGCUGAGGUACAAACUGGGAUUAGAUACCCCACUA